RNAcentral lists this ribosomal RNA (440 nucleotides) under uncultured bacterium. RNAcentral's name for it is "partial 16S ribosomal RNA". It matches the Rfam family "Bacterial small subunit ribosomal RNA", at positions 338 to 795 of the family's 1533-position model. The record is from RNAcentral.
CCUACGGGAGGCAGCAGUGGGGAAUAUUGCACAAUGGGGGAAACCCUGAUGCAGCGACGCCGCGUGAGUGAAGAAGUAUUUCGGUACGUAAAGCUCUAUCAGCAGGGAAGAAAAUGACGGUACCUGACUAAGAAGCCCCGGCUAACUACGUGCCAGCAGCCGCGGUAAUACGUAGGGGGCAAGCGUUAUCCGGAUUUACUGGGUGUAAAGGGAGCGUAGACGGCAGCGCAAGUCUGGAGUGAAAUCCCAUGGCUUAACCAUGGAACUGCUUUGGAAACUGUGCAGCUAGAGUGCAGGAGAGGUAAGCGGAAUUCCUAGUGUAGCGGUGAAAUGCGUAGAUAUUAGGAGGAACACCAGUGGCGAAGGCGGCUUACUGGACUGUAACUGACGUUGAGGCUCAAAAGCGUGGGGAGCAAACAGGAUUAGAUACCCCUGUAGUC